Molecule: long non-coding RNA, 405 nt
Organism: Bradysia coprophila
Lineage: Eukaryota; Metazoa; Arthropoda; Insecta; Diptera; Sciaridae
Source: RefSeq, a predicted model, not a curated record
AAAUGAUACAAUGAAAAAUAUGUUCACCUUUCUCGUGGUUCAAUAUAACUAAACCACUCCUAAACUGGCUGACGUCAUUAAUUUCAUCACUAACCCACUUUCAGUAAUGCGGAAAAUUCCAAAGACAUUACGUGUGUACGUUGAACCUGAUGAUGAUCUAUUAAUAGAGAUCGUAAGUGAUGAUAAGUUAUAAAUCAUAAACAGCUGGACGCUGAGUUUAGCAAACAAAUCGACUAACUUAUUGGUUCAGUUUUAUUGUGCCGACAAAGAAAAAUUCAGAAGAACGAAAACAAAACAUACCAACGAUCCGACAUGUAACAAUUUUAAGAAUGAAAUUUAAAACCGAAAGAAAAUUAUACGAAAAUUCGAACACAGUAAAUUUCCUGUUGUUUUUCAUCUCAUUCA